GGCUCUGCACAGUUAGCUUAUAUUAAAUAAUCCUAUUUUUUGAUGUGGUGUAGGGGUCACUUUGAUUAAAUGUUAAUAACUACCAUUUCUAUUCCAUGUUUCUCUCGGUGUUCUGUCUGUUUGGCAAUUGGCUUGUCAUUCGAAAUAUAAAUAAAAUUUCAAGACAAAUUUGAUUUAUCAUUAUCUGGGUUAGAAUAUAAAGUGGUAUGCCUGUAUAUGAGUCCAUCUGCAUGUGAUCAAUUUUACUCUUGUGGUACAGCUAUGAAUUGAUAUAAUGGAUAGUUUGGUAGUUUUUACAUAGUCUGUUUGAUACAGCAGAAAUUACUCCCUUUGAUUUAAAAAAUGUUCUUAACUGUUUGCCAGACUUGAAAGACUUUUAAAAAUUGUAUAAGACAAAUAUGGAAG
This 405-nucleotide long non-coding RNA is filed under the name Mytilus galloprovincialis (Mediterranean mussel). Lineage: Eukaryota; Metazoa; Mollusca; Bivalvia; Mytilida; Mytilidae. The record is from RNAcentral.